UUUAAAGCCUAUAUUAUUCUAUUUAAAACAUGAUUGUGAUUUUAUUGAACUCAAGUUUACUUGUCUGUGUUUUCUUUAAAAUAGGUUUUAGAACAGUCAUUGCUAGGUACUCAAUCCAAUUUGGCACCAUCAUCACGAUCUUACUCUAUCGCCUCGAAGGAGAUACUGCCACUUGAAAGAAGAUCAAACAGCUCACAAAAUGUUGAUUCCCAUGGUUAUCUAAGAUUUCCAUGGUUUCUUUGAAUUUCAUGUGUUUACAGGAUUUCCAGUUGGUUCAAGUCCUGUAAGGU
Long non-coding RNA from Hevea brasiliensis (rubber tree), 290 nucleotides. RefSeq lists it as uncharacterized. The transcript is spliced from 3 exons. The record is from RefSeq and is a predicted model, not a curated record. NCBI's taxonomy places the organism in Eukaryota, Viridiplantae, Streptophyta, Magnoliopsida, Malpighiales, Euphorbiaceae.